Molecule: non-coding RNA, 2282 nt
Organism: Lactuca sativa (garden lettuce)
Lineage: Eukaryota; Viridiplantae; Streptophyta; Magnoliopsida; Asterales; Asteraceae
Source: RefSeq, a predicted model, not a curated record
CUCUAUAUCCCUUCUAUAAACUCUAUUUCACCGAUGUUCAACCCACGUUCACAGAUUCACCGAUCUUUUCCGCUUAAGAACCCAACCCAGUUUGGGUGUUUUCCGAUUCUCACUGCAUUCUCACUUACGCAUUUCUCUGUUUAUUGUCUUCUCGCCUAAGCGACAAUCGAUUCCCACUUAAACUUAUCUUGUCGUUGUGGAUUUCCGAAUUUUGAAGCUACAAUUGAAUACAUGCCUUCUGAAUCAUAUCCAAAAAUCAAGUUGCUUAUGCGAGAAUCGACGAGAGGCCAUGGAAUCCAAAUGAAGACUGCAACUAUGUUGUUGCUGCUCAUGGUCAGUCACGACGAUGGAGACAAGGAGAUUGUCGCAUCUUCCUGUGUGAAAAAACUUGGGAAAGAAUUGAAUUUUGAUUUGCACAUGCCUGAGAGUGUUACAGUUCCUACCUUUAGAGUGGUGUAUACAAUCACCAUUAAAAGAUACGUUUUUAACCUUAUCUGAACUGUAAAUUGCUUUCAUUGAUUGUCGUUCUGGUUUUAUUUUUAAAUAAAACUUUCACCUAUUAGAGUUUACUUACUUUAUUAUGCUAUGAUUUGAAUUAUUGAAUUGGUGGAGAUGUAGGUAGGAUUCGAGAUGCUAAAUCAGGAACUAAAGUAGUGUCUAUUUGCAUUGCCUACCAGGUGUUUGAUAGAUUGCUUCUACAGUUAAUUGUUGGUUAAUCGUAUCUGAAAAUGAACCACCGUACGUAUAAGGCAUUUGAAGCCACCUCCUACCUUUUCCUAAUUUCCUCAUUCAAUUCAUACUUACAAUUUCAUUGAAAGGUCAUAAUUACACAUGUUUUAAUGUUUAUUGUAAUUUGAAAAUAGGUACUAACUCCACUUGAGAAAUUUAGUGCAGGUUGAAUGUCCUUAUUUAUGAUUUUGCUAAAAUAUAUAUUCCGUUCAUCAUUCAUGCAUACAAUGAGCACCUUACACUUGCUGGUGGCUGUUGAUGAGAUGAUGAAGUGAGCAAAGGCAUCAACUUUCCAUCUCCCUUUCUUCACUUGGAAAACAAGUAAUUAUAUUAGCAUUUUACAUACAACUACAACUGGAUUUUUAUUAAGCUCAUAGUUUCAGAAAAUCGUUUUGGGUGCUUAACAAAUGUCUAAAGUAACCUUUUGCUUACAAAAUGCAAGGGGAAGAGGAAUUAAAACACAUGGACACACAUCCAGUGAACAUAUUGACAAAAUGUAGCAUAGAACAUGAAUGGUUCACGAUCAUUGAACUUCAACAUAUGAAAGGAACAUUACAUACAAGAUCGUUUUUGGAUUUCAAUUGAUAUUUUUUUCGUGGAGAUUUAUACAGAGAUUAUUGACGACAAAGUUCUUUUUCAGGAAAAACAACAAGCAGUGGCCAGGAAGCACCAGGACCUGCCAAGGAAGAAGUUGGGAAGAAGAUCAACAAACCUCAUACUUGAGAGAUGAGAGAUCAAAAAAGAGCUAAUCAGGGACAACUGUUUGUUCACCAAAUACAACCAUUUUAGGGCUUUUCUUCUAUCAAUUUUAGGCGCCAAUGAGACUUCACUUUGCAUCUGGAAUGAAAAAGGAAGCGCGCGUUCUUAUUUUUUCCCAUCAUACCCUCGUCACACCCUUCUCUUUUUUCUUGCGGCAUCAAAGAACAACCGCCUCCAUCCUCUCCUCGUAUCUCAUCGGACUUCAGCGUCGGCCUUCACACACCACAACCAUUUCACGUCAUCGUCGCACACCACUUUCUCCCUCCAAUUCCUCUCUGAUCUGCAACCACACUGAAGCCUAGGGUUUGAGUUGCCGGCACGACCAACCAUCAACGACCUCUUCAAUCUAUACCUCGGUGUAUGAAAUUAAUGUCUCCCCUUUUUGCGUUUAGUUAUUUCCUGUUCCCAGAAUCCAAUAGGCACCCACCCCAUCCUUCUCUCUCUAAAAUUGUUGUUGCAACACUCGAAGUUGAUUGGGCGUUGAUUGAUGACUAUUGCUGAUAAAACAGAUCGAGUUAUGCAGAAUCUUAAGUAUGUUUGCUUGAAUCGAAGGUAAUUUGCUCGAUUUCUCUGUGUUAUAGAUAUUGCAACUUUUGUGUAACUGUGAUGGAUUGAAUUCUGAAAUAUAAGUUUAUGAUCUUGUUUUUUUUGCUUGUUUGUUGAUUUCUGAAAUGUAUGUGUGUAUAGUUAAAAUAUGUUGCUGAAAUAUGCUGAGUUUGUGUUUAUUUGUUAAACAAUAUUGUUGAAAAUGUGCUCUUUGUUCUAAUUUUUUCUUUUUUGUUGAUAUGUGUGUA